ACAGUGGACGGAUUUGCCAGCUUGCAACCACUUAAAAAAAUGCUAAAACAUGA
This 53-nucleotide non-coding RNA is filed under the name human gut metagenome. The record is from RNAcentral.